GAGACAGCAGUAGCCGCGGUAAUACGUAGGUCCCGAGCGUUGUCCGGAUUUAUUGGGCGUAAAGCGAGCGCAGGCGGUUAGAUAAGUCUGAAGUUAAAGGCUGUGGCUUAACCAUGGUACGCUUUGGAAACUGUUUAACUUGAGUGCAAGAGGGGAGAGUGGAAUUCCAUGUGUAGCGGUGAAAUGCGUAGAUAUAUGGAGGAACACCGGUGGCGAAAGCGGCUCUCUGGCUUGUAACUGACGCUGAGGCUCGAAAGCGUGGGGAGCAAACAGGAUUAGAUACCCGCGUAGUCCCUGUCUCUUAUACA
This 308-nucleotide ribosomal RNA is filed under the name uncultured bacterium. RNAcentral describes it as "partial 16S ribosomal RNA". It matches the Rfam family "Bacterial small subunit ribosomal RNA", at positions 505 to 808 of the family's 1533-position model. The record is from RNAcentral.